This 82-nucleotide transfer RNA is filed under the name Candidatus Woesebacteria bacterium. RNAcentral's name for it is "tRNA-Leu". The record is from RNAcentral. Lineage: Bacteria; Candidatus Woeseibacteriota.
GCCGAUGUGGUGGAAUUGGUAGACACGUACGCUUCAGGUGCGUAUGCCGCAAGGUUUGGGAGUCCGAGUCUCCCCAUCGGCA